AGUGAACGCUGGCGGUAGGCCUAACACAUGCAAGUCGAACGGCAGCACAGUAAGAGCUUGCUCUUACGGGUGGCGAGUGGCGGACGGGUGAGGAAUACAUCGGAAUCUACUUUUUCGUGGGGGAUAACGUAGGGAAACUUACGCUAAUACCGCAUACGACCUACGGGUGAAAGCAGGGGAUCUUCGGACCUUGCGCGAUUGAAUGAGCCGAUGUCGGAUUAGCUAGUUGGCGGGGUAAAGGCCCACCAAGGCGACGAUCCGUAGCUGGUCUGAGAGGAUGAUCAGCCACACUGGAACUGAGACACGGUCCAGGCGCCUACGGGAGGCAGCAGUGGGGAAUAUUGGACAAAGGGGGCAAGCCUGAUCCAGCCAUACCGCGUGGGUGAAGAAGGCCUUCGGGUUGUAAAGCCCUUUUGUUGGGAAAGAAAAGCAGCAGGUUAAUACCCCGCUGUUCUGACGGUACCCAAAGAAUAAGCACCGGCUAACUUCGUG
RNAcentral lists this ribosomal RNA (492 nucleotides) under uncultured bacterium. RNAcentral describes it as "partial 16S ribosomal RNA". It matches the Rfam family "Bacterial small subunit ribosomal RNA", at positions 29 to 507 of the family's 1533-position model. The record is from RNAcentral.